Molecule: ribosomal RNA, 329 nt
Filed under: uncultured Oscillibacter sp.
Lineage: Bacteria; Bacillati; Bacillota; Clostridia; Eubacteriales; Oscillospiraceae
Description: bacterial SSU rRNA
Rfam family: Bacterial small subunit ribosomal RNA
Source: RNAcentral
UGGGGAAUAUUGGGCAAUGGACGCAAGUCUGACCCAGCAACGCCGCGUGAAGGAAGGAGGCUUUCGGGUUGUAAACUUCUUUGACAGGGGAAGAGCAGAAGACGGUACCCUGAAAACAAGCCACGGCUAACUACGUGCCAGCAGCCGCGGUAAUACGUAGGUGGCAAGCGUUGUCCGGAUUUACUGGGUGUAAAGGGCGUGCAGCCGGGCCGACAAGUCAGAUGUGAAAUCCCGAGGCUUAACCUCGGAACUGCAUUUGAAACUGUUGGUCUUGAGUAUCGGAGAGGUCAUCGGAAUUCCUUGUGUAGCGGUGAAAUGCGUAGAUAUAA